RNAcentral lists this long non-coding RNA (1348 nucleotides) under Carica papaya (papaya). RNAcentral's name for it is "long non-coding RNA (CPAP_LNC016225)". The record is from RNAcentral. Lineage: Eukaryota; Viridiplantae; Streptophyta; Magnoliopsida; Brassicales; Caricaceae.
AACAUAUGGACUUCCCUUUUAGCUAAGAAUAUAGAAGGGAUGAUAUCUGUGUAGACUAGUGAGGUCCCUAUUUUUUUAUGCACCAGAGUUAGAAUUCUGUUUUGCCAAUGCAAGGAAUAAUGUGGGAACUUUAAAGGAAAAUGAGGCAAUUCCACCAAUCGUCUCAGACUUUCUGGUUUCAUAAUGGCACCAUCAUAAAUGGAGACUUAAUUGAACUCUCUUAAUGGAAACCUCCCAUGCUUCGGCCUAAAAACAUCAUCAUCAAUCAAAGAUUAAUCCUGGGAACAAUCUUGUUGCAGCAGGUAACAGUCAAAGGCUGCCUCAUUUACUGCAGAAGAAAUGAUCUCUAGAGUUGAAAAGUUCAAAUCAAAAUUAGGAUUUUGUUGCAAAUAAAGCUUCUAUUGAACAACUCUUUUUUUUUGUUUUUUUAUAAACAUAUCUUAAUUUUCUGCAAAUUUUUAGACUAUUACUUAUAUUCAUGUAUAAAAGAGUGCUUCUGUCAACGGAAAAAAAACAUACUUUUGCUGUUCCAUUUUAGCCUUGUCUGCUCUAUUUUCUUUGCUUCUUAUUACCUUUGGUUUGUAAUCAAAUAAAAACAAAAAUUCAACAACAGGAACCAAUAAACCAAGUGGCUCAAAUACAACGUGCUCUCUUUUCAUGUAACUGCAAGACUUUUUUUGCAAACUCAUAAGCAAUCUGAUUACGAUUUCUGGAAAUUCAUAAAGCACAAAAAUGUAAAACAUUGUCUAUAAGCCGUUCCAACUCAACCACAUACUCUUUUGCGGAAUAAUUUGAGAGUUCCCUUCUACUAUGACUUGCUGCAUACCCAUCCCACUUGAUAUCUCCAACCCCAACAGUAAUGCCAAAAUUUCAGCUAUAUCUACAUUCUUUAUGUUUGAAAUACAUUCGUUUGCAGCAGAAACUAUAUCGCCAUGCCAAUUUCUAUAAAUAUGUCUAAAACUUGUCCAUUCCCAAUGCCAAACAGAAGCACCAUAGUUUAUACACACCAGGGCUGGUCGAGGCCAUGCUUGAGUUGAUGAUGUAACCUCAUUAGUGAGUUAAAGGGAUGAUUUUAAUGAAGAGACUAUGAAGUUUGGUGAGCAAUCUUAGCGGAUCCAUAGGUGCCUCCCCCACUAGAUUCCCCAAAGGAUUAACAUAAACCAAAUAUGCUAGUUGAUGAUAUUUUUUGAGGGGCCCUUAUUAAGUCACAUGAAAAGAUAAGGUUAUGGAGACAUUACCUUUAAGAGGGGAUAUUUGCCAUAUUUGUUUAACAAAUGAAUAAUUCUUGAAUAUAAAGGAGUCCCCACACCAAGUAGAACUGUAUUAUUUCAAUAGAACUAGUCCAAGC